UCCAUGAUUGAUCACCAUGAAGAAGCCCCAAUCCUGACAUGCUUUGCGAAGGUCAUGAAUGAUUUUGGACCGUUGAUCAGGACUACUUGAAAUAAGAAGAGAGUAGUCUAUGACAGGAACAGGCUCUUCUGUGUCUGAAACUACUUGGUCAUGGGAAUUGAGGGUGAAAGUGUGAGUGGAUGGGAUGUUGGUGAGACCAGGUGACUCAACUAGUAGUUUGAUGAUGCUAGUUAUUCUCUUGGAUGGUGUUGUAGGAGAUGCUUGGGUGGCAACCAGUGGAGCUGUUUCAGCCAUGGGGGCAGAGAGAGAAAGAGAGAGACACACACACAAGGCUGACUGCUGAGUGAUUUAGAUUCUGGUGAAACAGUGAUCAAUUAUAUGCAAGAAGUAUUGGGAUACAAUUGCAUAACAAUAAAGAAAGCUAAGAAGUGAACUCAGUAAUGUAAUCCGUCAAUUGUUGAAAAUAAUGAAAGAUGUUGGAAAUCUGUGGGGAAAAGACAAAUUAUAUAUGUGAUGGCUGCCUGAUUUUUAGAAACUGAGAUGUUUGGCAUCAAAGUUAUUCCAUAAAAGAAGAAAGUGAGAGAGCAUCUUGGAUAAAAUUUGGAUAAAAGAACACCACAGGUACUCACCAG
This 632-nucleotide unclassified non-coding RNA is filed under the name Hevea brasiliensis (rubber tree). The record is from RNAcentral. Lineage: Eukaryota; Viridiplantae; Streptophyta; Magnoliopsida; Malpighiales; Euphorbiaceae.